CUUUUCUGGUGGCGACCGGCGCACGGGUGCGGAACGCGUAUGGAACCUGCCCCUGUCAGGGGAAUAGCCCAGGGAAACUUGGAUUAAUGCCCCAUGGUACCGCGAUAUCGCAUGAUAUUGCGGUUAAAGAUUUAUCGGACAGGGAUGGCCAUGCGUACCAUUAGUUAGUUGGUGGGGUAACGGCCCACCAAGGCAGCGAUGGUUAGGGGCCCUGAGAGGGGGAUCCCCCACACUGGUACUGAGACACGGACCAGACUCCUACGGGAGGCAGCAGUGAGGAAUAUUGGACAAUGGGCGGGAGCCUGAUCCAGCCAUGCCGCGUGCAGGAUGACGGCCCUAUGGGUUGUAAACUGCUUUUAUACGGGAAGAAAUGCGCCCACGUGUGGGCGUCUGACGGUACCGUAAGAAUAAGGACCGGCUAACUCCGUGCCAGCAGCCGCGGUAAUACGGAGGGUCCGAGCGUUAUCCGGAAUCAUUGGGUUUAAAGGGUCCGUAGGCGGGCCUGUAAGUCAGGGGUGAAAGUUUGUGGCUCAACCAUAAAAUUGCCUUUGAUACUGCAGGUCUUGAGUCAUGGUGGGGUCGCCGGAACAUGUGGUGUA
This 599-nucleotide ribosomal RNA is filed under the name Flagellimonas ruestringensis. Its description in RNAcentral is "bacterial SSU rRNA". It matches the Rfam family "Bacterial small subunit ribosomal RNA", at positions 80 to 677 of the family's 1533-position model. Lineage: Bacteria; Pseudomonadati; Bacteroidota; Flavobacteriia; Flavobacteriales; Flavobacteriaceae. The record is from RNAcentral.